CCAUGGAUCAGUCCGACCAGGCCUCCAAUAGUGUGAGCUGCUCUUUUGAUUGUCCCUCCAUAUCCUCUGCCCUUCAUGCUACUAAAAACAGCGGUCCAGCUGACAUGAGGUGAGAUCUAAUAUCAGAGAGAUUUGAGGGUGGUGAGUCUCCCGCUCCAUGUGGCAGAGGGGCCCAUGCGUCAGGGCUCUGGAGGAGACUUCCAGAGCUGAAAACAUCCUCAGAUUCAGAGUCAGCAAGAAAGUGAAGACUUCCAUCCUGCUAAUGUAAAGAGCUUAAUUCUGUCAACAAUCCUGAGACUCAGAUAACAUGGAGAGCAGAUUCUGAUGUCUAUGAGAGGAACUACGCUAUAUCUCAUAAAAACAGCAGUUUUAUUACUAUGUUCCCAAGUGACCUUACUUCUUCCUCCAAAUCUUCUAAAUGAUUAUUCUGUAAGUGUCAGUUGUUGCCAAGCGUAAGUCUCUCAGAAGCCAAGGGUACACACUGUGACAGGGAAGUUUCCAUCAAAGACUACUUUAAAGAAAGCACUGUUUGGGAAAGAACCAACUUCAUAAAAAUAAACAAGCAAAGCCUACUGGUUGUGCGAAGCAAGUCACCUGGAUAAUAAAGGCAAAACAAAUGAAAAUGCCAAGUUCUGUAAGCUCGUGAAUGCAAAUACUCUAA
Long non-coding RNA from Fukomys damarensis (Damara mole-rat), 661 nucleotides. RefSeq lists it as uncharacterized. The transcript is spliced from 3 exons. Lineage: Eukaryota; Metazoa; Chordata; Mammalia; Rodentia; Bathyergidae. The record is from RefSeq and is a predicted model, not a curated record.